Small nucleolar RNA from Danio rerio (zebrafish), 145 nucleotides. The record is from Ensembl. Lineage: Eukaryota; Metazoa; Chordata; Actinopteri; Cypriniformes; Danionidae.
CUUCAGUGACGAUACGAUGACGAGUCGGAUCGAGGACCAACUCUGAGGAUUCUGGGUCAGACUCACGUUCUGUGCGUCUGAUUUCAAGUCCUCGGAGAUCAUGCGUCCUCUAGAUUGAAGAUCUUGAGGCAUUUGUCUGAGAAGG